RNAcentral lists this ribosomal RNA (253 nucleotides) under uncultured bacterium. RNAcentral's name for it is "partial 16S ribosomal RNA". It matches the Rfam family "Bacterial small subunit ribosomal RNA", at positions 524 to 776 of the family's 1533-position model. The record is from RNAcentral.
UACAGAGGGCUCAAGCGUUGUUCGGAUUCAUUGGGCGUAAAGGGCGCGUAGGCGGCGGGGUAAGUCGGGGGUGAAAUCUCAGAGCUCAACUCUGAAACUGCACUCGAUACUGCUCUGCUUGAGGACUGGAGAGGAGACUGGAAUUCACGGUGUAGCAGUGAAAUGCGUAGAUAUCGUAAGGAAGACCAGUGGCGAAGGCGGGUCUCUGGACAGUUCCUGACGCUGAGGCGCGAAGGCCAGGGGAGCAAACGGG